This is a non-coding RNA of Pelobates cultripes (western spadefoot toad), 78 nucleotides long. Lineage: Eukaryota; Metazoa; Chordata; Amphibia; Anura; Pelobatidae. The record is from the annotation of a GenBank genome assembly.
CGUGUGUGUGUGUGUGUGUGUGUGUGUAUAUAUAUAUAUAUAUAUAUAUAUACGUACAUACACUCACACACACAUUCA